RNAcentral lists this ribosomal RNA (332 nucleotides) under uncultured bacterium. RNAcentral describes it as "bacterial SSU rRNA". It matches the Rfam family "Bacterial small subunit ribosomal RNA", at positions 568 to 898 of the family's 1533-position model. The record is from RNAcentral.
CGCGUAGGCGGUGCGGUAAGUCACCUGUGAAAUCUCCCGGCUCAACUGGGAGCCUGCAGGCGAAACUACCGUGCUGGAGUGUGGGAGGGGUGCGUGGAAUUCCCGGUGUAGCAGUGAAAUGCGUAGAUAUCGGGAGGAACACCUGUGGCGAAAGCGGCGCACUGGACCACAACUGACGCUGAGGCGCGAAAGCUAGGGGAGCAAACAGGAUUAGAUACCCUGGUAGUCCUAGCCCUAAACGAUGAUUGCUUGGUGUAGCCGGUACCCAAUCCGGCUGUGCCGCAGCUAACGCGAUAAGCAAUCCGCCUGGGGAGUACGGUCGCAAGGCUGAA